This 272-nucleotide ribosomal RNA is filed under the name uncultured Lactobacillus sp. Its description in RNAcentral is "partial 16S ribosomal RNA". It matches the Rfam family "Bacterial small subunit ribosomal RNA", at positions 272 to 526 of the family's 1533-position model. Lineage: Bacteria; Bacillati; Bacillota; Bacilli; Lactobacillales; Lactobacillaceae. The record is from RNAcentral.
GGCGAUGAUGCAUAGCCCGAGUUGAGAGACUGAUCGGGCCACAUUGGGGACUGAGACACGGGCCCAAACUCCUACGGGAGGCAGCAGUAGGGAAUCUUCCACAAUGGACGCAAGUCUGAUGGAGCAAAACGCCGCGUGAGUGAAGAAGGGUUUCGGCUCGUAAAAAGCUCUGUUGUUGGUGAAGAAGGACAGGGGUAGUAACUGACCCUUUGUUUGACGGUAAUCAAUUAGAAAGUCACGGGCUAACUACGUGCCAGCAGCCGCGGUAAAAU